RNAcentral lists this unclassified non-coding RNA (4859 nucleotides) under Drosophila virilis. Its description in RNAcentral is "GJ21285". The record is from RNAcentral. Lineage: Eukaryota; Metazoa; Arthropoda; Insecta; Diptera; Drosophilidae.
AUAUCGAAUGUUUUGCGCAGUGUUGUUAGCUAGUUAGCAGGCAUGCUGGGCCCAACCGGUGCUGCAAAAUACUCAAAUACAUUGUUAAAAUUCGCCAGAAAUUCGCAAGCCAGCGAAAAAUUUGUAAUUACUAGGUAAACAAGCAAACCGCGCGCGUUGCGUUAACAACAAUAAGAUGUAUAUAUGAGAAACUGCACACCGUACACAGACACUUGUCACCAGUAACCCAAUACCAACGCGUACACCGCCACACACACGCAGCAAUGGGACUCGACUUUGAUGUCGUGGAGUACUGCAAAGGUGUGAAAUCAAAACAGUCCCAGCCGCCGUUCGCCUGCCCGGUGCGCGACUGUGAUCGCAGCUAUAAAACACUUGUUGGCCUGCAGGGCCAUCUUACCAACUACGACCACGACAAUCCGCAGCCCCUGACGCCAGUUCUCAAGCCGAAUCGAAAAAGGGCGCGCUCAUCUCGCGCGCUCCACUCAACGCCCAAAGACAACGGCAGUGGCGGCGGUGGCAAUUCCGAGGGCGAAAACGGCUGCGGCAAUGGCAGAACCACCACAAAUCCCGAGUCCUUGGUAUCCUACAACGAACAGGAGGGCACGGUCACCUUUAACAUCGAUGGCAAGAGUGUACGCCUGGGCAUUGAUGAUCCCCUGCCAAUAGUCGAUGAUGAUGAGUUUGCCGAGCUGGUGGAGCGCGGCUGUAUAUUGAAUGCGGAUGCACCGCCGCUGGAGGAGAAUGCAGCGUGGGCACAGGUGCAGGUGCCCGUUGCGAAUGUCCGCGAAAUCGAUGACUACAAUGUGCCUGAUGCGCCGCCCAGGCCCUUGGCCUACUAUCGCUUUAUUGAGAAGUCUGCCGAGGAGCUGGAUGGCGAGAUUGAAUACGAUGUGGAUGAGGAGGAUUCCGCUUGGCUGGAGCACAUGAACGAGCUGCGCGCCCAGCAAAACCUCAAUGCGGUCAGCAUUGAUACUAUGGAGCUGUUAAUGGAUCGCCUCGAGAAGGAAUCUCAUUUUCAGGCAGCGGCUAACGGCACGCCCACUGGCGUCGAGGUGGAUGACGAUGCAGUCUGUUGCAUUUGCUUGGAUGGCGAAUGCCAGAACACCAACGUGAUACUCUUCUGCGACAUGUGCAACCUGGCGGUGCAUCAGGACUGCUAUGGCGUGCCCUAUAUACCGGAAGGCCAGUGGCUGUGCCGACGCUGCCUCCAAUCGCCCAGCAAGGCGGUCAACUGUGUGCUCUGUCCAAAUGCCGGCGGCGCGUUCAAGCAAACGGAUCACGGCCAGUGGGCGCAUGUGGUCUGUGCGCUCUGGAUACCAGAGGUGCGCUUCGCCAACACAGUGUUCCUGGAGCCAAUUGAUUCUAUCGAGACCAUACCGGCUGCGCGCUGGCGCCUCACCUGCUAUGUGUGCAAGGAGAAGGGUCUGGGAGCGUGUAUUCAGUGCCAUCGCAACAGCUGCUAUGCCGCCUUUCAUGUGACCUGUGCGCAGCAGGCGGGCCUCUAUAUGACCAUGGACACGGUCAAGGAUGGCCAUAACGAUAGCUCUGUGCAUGUGCAGAAGUUCGCCUACUGUCACGCCCAUACGCCCGCUGAUGCAAAGCUAAAGACGAACGUACCGGACUUCGAGGACACGCGCAUGAAGAUGCGCGAGGCGCGCAAAGCGCUGGCCAAGAAACGCUCAACGGCGCCGGUAGUUCUAAUACCGACAAUACCGCCGGAUCGUGUGCACGAGAUCGCGGCCAUGGUGCACAUGCAGAAGAAAAAGGAGUUCCUCGAUCGCAUCAUUGCCUACUGGACGUUAAAGCGGCAUUAUCGGAACGGAGUGCCGCUGCUGCGCCGGCUGCAGAGUCAGGGCAACAAUCAUGGCGUGAUCCAGCGCAAUGGCAUCGAGGGCUCACCGGACACGAAGGAGCUGUACCGGCAGCUCAAGUACUGGCAGUGUUUGCGUCAGGACUUGGAACGGGCGCGGUUACUCUGUGAGCUGGUGCGCAAGCGUGAGAAGCUCAAGGUGGCAUUUGUUAAGAUCUCCGAGGAGGUGGUCAUGCUGCAGCUAAAUCCACUGGAGUCGGCAUUGGGCAAACUGCUGGAUGCGCUGGAGACACGCGACACCAUGGAGAUAUUCCGGGAGCCGGUGGACACCAGCGAGGUGCCCGACUAUAUGGAUAUUGUGAAGCAGCCCAUGGAUUUGGGCACCAUGCGCACGAAGCUCAAGGAUUGCAAGUACACUAAACUGGAGCAGCUGGAGGCGGACUUCGAUUUGAUGAUACAGAAUUGUCUGGCGUACAAUAACAAGGAUACGGUAUUCUAUCGAGCUGGGAUACGCAUGCGCGACCAGGCGGCGCCGCUGUUCGUGCAGCUGCGCAAGGAACUACAGCGGGAUGGAUUACUGGAGCGUGGCCAACGCGCUCAUGUGGAUCAUGUGGAGGGCGAAGUGGAGCAGGAGCUGCGACAGCUGCUGGCGAUGCCGCCCAGCGAGGAUGUAGUUCAAAAGCUGCUCAUACUGGCCGACAAGUCACAGGUGCUCAAGAAUCCCAGCUAUCGCACCAAGAAGAUUAAGCAAAUCCGCCUGGAAAUCAAUCGCAUGCGCAAAACUCUGCAAAAAGCGCGCUUUGCAGCGCGAUACUCUUCACAUGCGCACUCCCAAAGUGACGAUGACAAUGAGGAGACGCGUCUUAAACCCUCCAAGAAGCGAACGCGCAAGCGUCUCAAUAGCAGCGCCAUGGAUCUGGACGAAUCGCAGGAGCUGCCGUCGCAGCAACACGAUGAUGAAGACGACGACGAGGAUGACUCUGAUGAUGAUUCAAUGGCUGACGAUGGCGCUAGCAAGGACACCACCCACAUGGCCCAAACACCGCCCUGCAGUCCAGUCAAGAGUCUUAACAAUAGCAGCUCACCUGUGGGCAUUAAUCGAAGGACGGCCAUUUUGUUGACGCGCAAGGCGCAGGCGGCACUCAAGCGCCCAUCGGAGCCCCUGACGACGCCCGUCAAGGAAGAGCACCACAAUUCUCAGUCAUCUAGCACACAAUCGACCAGCGCCAGUUCCAGUUCCACCACAACCGCCGCCACCGCCGCCUCCAGCACGCUGAAUGCAUCGCUUGCUGCCAGUGCCACGCCCACGCCCAGCAGCUUUUCGUUGGCGCACAACAGCACGAAUGCAGCCGGAGUGGGAGCAACCGGCGUCAGUCUAACCUCCACCGCGCUGUCCAUAAGCAACAAGCUAAGCCUAAGCCUGGGUGCGGGCCUGGCGCUGUCCAAGUCUCCUAAGCGGCCGGCGCGCUAUCGCCGUUUGCCUUCGACGUCACCAAAGAAGUCACCGAAUCCAGCGGCUGCAGCAGCAGCAGCGGCGGCGGCGGCGGCGUCGGCAACGACGCCGUUGACAACAACAACCAACCCGUCAAUACCUGCAUUGGCGCCAGUGGAGCCACUGCCCUUUGAGCGCAUUCCAGACAGCUUUCGUGUGUACCGAGGGAACAAUCAGCGGGACGUUAGCGAGAGCGACGAUGCGCCCUCCCAAUCGAGCAGUCCGUGCAGCAGCUGUUCCGACUUCAGUAUGUCCGGCAGCUGUUCGGAUUUUGACAGCGAUGAGGCAAGCGAUGGGGAUGCGCACAGCGAGGAGGGCGACUCGGAUAGCACGAAGGCGAAUGCUAUGCGCGAUGACUCGCAGGAGGAGUGCACCACAGAUGCCAUGGAUCUGCAGCAUGCGAGCCUGAACAAUGCGCAGGGCAAUGGCAACAUGGCCAUCAGCAGCAGCGACAGCAGCUCCGACAGCGACGAUGACGAUGAGGAUGACGAUGAUGACGACGAGGAUGAGGGGCCCAACAGCUCUGAGCUGCUGGAUGCGAAUGCAGUGGGCAAACAGCGUGUGACACGCAGCACACCCACACCGCUGCAGGGACGUGGCGGCGCGAUGGCGGCGGUCCGUGGCAGAGGUAAACGGCGCAGCAAUCUCAGCGAAUCGACCAGCUCGACGGCGACGCCGCCGCCCCUGCUACGCAAGGCGGGUAAACUGCGUUCGGCCACGCCCAACGCGUCGCCGCUUGUAAAUAGCAUAAAGGCGAGACGAAGCACCACCACGGCCACCAGCAACAGCACCCUAACGAAUAACAACAAAAGCAAGUCGCACCACGAGCUGGAGGAGACGGGCACUGUGGCUGCCGUUGCCGGCGAGGUGCAUGUGCGGCACAACAACAGCAGCCAGAAAGCGGCGCUGGAGCCACUGCAGCUGGUUUGGGCCAAGUGUCGUGGCUACCCGUGGUAUCCGGCGCUUAUACUCGAUCCCAAGACGCCCAAGGGUUUUGUGUACAAUGGUGUACCGUUGCCGGCGCCACCAACGGAUGUGCUGGCUCUGCGUCAGAAUUGCCUCGACGAUGUCGUCUUUCUGGUGCUCUUUUUCGAUGUGAAGCGCACCUGGCAAUGGCUGCCGGCCAACAAGCUGGACAUACUGGGCAUAGACAAGCAGCUGGACCAGCAGAAGCUCGUCGAGUCACGCAAGCCGGCAGAGCGCAAGGCCGUCAAGAAGGCGUAUCAGGAUGCGUUGCACUACCAGAGCCAGGUAUCCGAUCUAGAGGGUCAGGGCCCGGAUCCCAUCAUGUGAAAGCUGUUUGCCCAAUUGCAUUUAAAUGUUAAAUGUUAAAUGCGCCCCCGCCUUGUAAACAACCCGUUUCUCGAAAUAGACCAGCCUGGGAGCUGGAUGGCUGGCUGAUGCUACUGUAUUGUUACUGAGAAGGCCCUCCAUAAGUGUAUUUCGUUGACUUUUUCUUAACGUUUCGGAACUUUCCAAUUUUACACUGCAAGUGUUGUUGUUUCAUUUGUUUAUUUAAACAACGAAAAAAGCAAGCAAACAAACAAAAUUAUACAA